RNAcentral lists this ribosomal RNA (451 nucleotides) under uncultured bacterium. RNAcentral's name for it is "bacterial SSU rRNA". It matches the Rfam family "Bacterial small subunit ribosomal RNA", at positions 64 to 507 of the family's 1533-position model. The record is from RNAcentral.
GAGCGGAGAGAAGUAGCUUGCUACUGAUCUUAGCGGCGGACGGGUGAGUAAUACUUAGGAAUCUGGCUAUUAGUGGGGGACAACAUUUCGAAAGGGAUGCUAAUACCGCAUACGUCCUACGGGAGAAAGCAGGGGAUCAGUAAUGACCUUGCGCUAAUAGAUGAGCCUAAGUCGGAUUAGCUAGUUGGUGGGGUAAAGGCCUACCAAGGCGACGAUCUGUAGCGGGUCUGAGAGGAUGAUCCGCCACACUGGGACUGAGACACGGCCCAGACUCCUACGGGAGGCAGCAGUGGGGAAUAUUGGACAAUGGGGGGAACCCUGAUCCAGCCAUGCCGCUUGUGUGAAGAAGGCCUUAUGGUUGUAAAGCACUUUAAGCGAGGAGGAGGGUACUGGUAUUAAUACUACCAGGUACUGGACGUUACUCGCAGAAUAAGCACCGGCUAACUCUGUG